RNAcentral lists this ribosomal RNA (906 nucleotides) under uncultured bacterium. Its description in RNAcentral is "bacterial SSU rRNA". It matches the Rfam family "Bacterial small subunit ribosomal RNA", at positions 19 to 925 of the family's 1533-position model. The record is from RNAcentral.
CUGGCUCAGGAUGAACGCUGGCGGCGUGCUUAACACAUGCAAGUCGAGCGAAGCACUUAAGUUUGAUUCUUCGGAUGAAGACUUUUGUGACUGAGCGGCGGACGGGUGAGUAACGCGUGGGUAACCUGCCUCAUACAGGGGGAUAACAGUUAGAAAUGGCUGCUAAUACCGCAUAAGACCACAGUACUGCAUGGUACAGUGGUAAAAACUCCGGUGGUAUGAGAUGGACCCGCGUCUGAUUAGGUAGUUGGUGAGGUAACGGCCCACCAAGCCGACGAUCAGUAGCCGACCUGAGAGGGUGACCGGCCACAUUGGGACUGAGACACGGCCCAGAUUCCUACGGGAGGCAGCAGUGGGGAAUAUUGCACAAUGGGCGAAAGCCUGAUGCAGCGACGCCGCGUGAAGGAUGAAGUAUUUCGGUAUGUAAACUUCUAUCAGCAGGGAAGAAAAUGACGGUACCUGACUAAGAAGCCCCGGCUAACUACGUGCCAGCAGCCGCGGUAAUACGUAGGGGGCAAGCGUUAUCCGGAUUUACUGGGUGUAAAGGGAGCGUAGACGGCUGUGCAAGUCUGAAGUGAAAGGCAUGGGCUCAACCUGUGGACUGCUUUGGAAACUGUGCAGCUAGAGUGUCGGAGAGGUAAGUGGAAUUCCUAGUGUAGCGGUGAAAUGCGUAGAUAUUAGGAGGAACACCAGUGGCGAAGGCGGCUUACUGGACGAUGACUGACGUUGAGGCUCGAAAGCGUGGGGAGCAAACAGGAUUAGAUACCCUGGUAGUCCACGCCGUAAACGAUGACUGCUAGGUGUCGGGUAGCAAAGCUAUUCGGUGCCGCAGCUAACGCAAUAAGCAGUCCACCUGGGGAGUACGUUCGCAAGAAUGAAACUCAAAGGAAUUGACGGAAGGGCGAA